Molecule: transfer RNA, 87 nt
Filed under: Roseomonas sp. CECT 9278
Lineage: Bacteria; Pseudomonadati; Pseudomonadota; Alphaproteobacteria; Acetobacterales; Roseomonadaceae
Description: tRNA-Ala
Source: RNAcentral
GCGGUGACGUCGGCGACGGCCAGGCCGUCGUCAUUGGCGAUGGUGACGCUGCCGCGCGCGUCGGCGAUCUCGGCGCCGGUCGCGGCG